This is a non-coding RNA of Poecilia reticulata (guppy), 3970 nucleotides long. The record is from RefSeq and is a predicted model, not a curated record. Lineage: Eukaryota; Metazoa; Chordata; Actinopteri; Cyprinodontiformes; Poeciliidae.
AGAAACACAUUCCCUUACAAUUGUCCUGAAGCCACCAGUACAGUGUUACAACAGAGGAAGAAUACAAAAUUAAUUAAUUAAAAACAACAUUAAGGGUGAAAAAAAACAAAAAUUAAAUAUAAAUUAUUUUGUCUAUGCUGCGACUGACCGCUAAUCAGCUAUUUACGGUUAUAAAACAUUUUAUAUUUUUAAUAAAAAUUACAUACAGCUUUAAGUGCUCAAGUAAAACUUAUAAAUUCAUAUUUUAAUGACACUGACAUUCUUUCAAUAUUUUAUGUCAGUGCCCACUGACCCUUUGCAGUUACGUCACUAACUAAUUCGAGGCGUCAUGAUGGACGUCGGAAGUGAGGGACGGGAGCGACUGAAACAGUUUUCCAAAGUUGUUUUUUUGCCGGUUAUUCGUGGCUUCUACUUGUUUAAGUCGAGCUAAUUUGUGAACGUAACUCACCCGGUUGGGGCUCAUAUACGGCGAUAUGUAGAAAAGUUGGAAACAGCUAGCUUAGAAACCGACCCGUACCUCCUCCCUCCUGACGUGUUGAUCAAAUUACUGACUUUGCCUGAAUUCACACCACAUGAUUUAUAUCACUACGUCAUAAAGUGCGUUUACCUUUACACCGGAGCAGCCUUAAAAACGUAUAAAAGACGAGACUAAACAUUCUUUUCCAUACAUGCCCUAGCAUGUAGGCUACAUGACGGUGCGGCAUUGUCUCCAUGGUUACCAACGGUUAGACGCGACUUUUCCAUAAUGCAGUGUUUGAUAUCUUUCUAAUCACAUUUAAGGUACGUGAACGUUAAUCUUCUUUCCUUGUAAAAAGUGUUUGCAGCUAAUGUUCAGGUUAAUCGCGUUCGCUAACGCGUUACCGUUGACAGUAUUAUGUGCAAGAGAAAAUAAAAACAGCGGAGGCAUCCUACCCUCAAACAACUUCCGCAAAAAGACCAGAAUAUAGCCAUCUGCAUAUUCUAGGUGAACUGAACUAAAAAGCACUUGUGUUGCACAUAAUGCUAGCUGAGAAAUAACCGAAGUUAGCUUUAGCAAAUAAGCGAGAGUAGCUCAAUAUAACCACGUAAAAUAUAUUUUCGUACUCAAACAAAAACAAAAGUGCAAUACAAUGUUUUUUUAAAUAGUACUUACCAGGUGAAAGUCAUUGUUGGCCCGCCAUCUAACCCGUGGAAGUUCGCCUCUAGCCGGUAAAUAUCCCCCAAUGCAACUGUACAUUAAAAAUUGACAGUGCAGCUGUACUGCAUUAUCUCCGAUCUGGUUUCACACUUUGCUUUAUUUGUUUGCCAUAUAAAGCAGGUCUGGGGACCUGGGUAAAUUUGCAAUUUCUUCCAAGUCUUUAAGCAGUCGCAUCUUUUCAUACAGGUGGAUCUGUGUCACACAGCACUCAGUUUUUCUCCAAGAAGCUUCUCUUUUCAAUUCCCUCGGGUAGCGAUGGCGUGGUUUGCCACAGUUCUUGAAGAAGAAAAUGUAAGUACUGUUGAAGGUCGACAAUCAGUUUAAGUAAAGUUUGUGGUUCUGACGGACAAGGGCAAAGCAAAGGGAUGGGGAUUUGAGCGUUGUUGUGACUUUGAUUUUUGUAGCCUGCAGCUUCUGAGGUUUGAUUGUCAGGUACCUCAGGGACGUUUUCUACCUGGACAUUUACAUGGGAGACACCAUGUCAUCAGGGUCUUUCCUUCGGUUUGGUCAUCAGGGACAUUCUCUACCUGGAUGUGUUCUGGUUCAUAAAAAGUUAAGACACUGUUUUGUUCAUGUCCUCACAUGUCAAUGGCUCUUUCUCUCCCCCGAUUAUCCUCUGUCUCUGGUGUUUUAGAUUCAUAUUUAGUGGCCAGUUGAGGAGUGGAGAAGACAGUUUCCUUGACCAGUGAAGUGCGCUGCAUUUCAGUAAUUUCAAGAGAAAUCUUCUGGUCAAUGGGGCCGCGUAACUCCAACAAGGUCUGAAAUGAAAGCUUCUUCCUCUCAGGUGGCCGUGUCUCCGAUAGCUCAUCCACUAUCUCCUGUGUUUGGGAGAUGCUUUCAUUUUCAGUGACCAGUUGAGUAGAGAAGACAGUUUCCCUGGUACGAGCCUCCUUUUCUAAGGCGUCUGCCAGAUCUCCUUGUUUUUCCAGAAGAGAACUAUCACAUCCACAUCUUCAGUGGAGGAAAUCAUACAAACUGAUCUCGGAGGGAAAUCUUUUUCUGAGGUCUUCUUGAGAUCCUGAAUUUGCAAUCACAGCUUGCUUAUUCUAAUGUUCUGAGGAAUCUGCCAGAUUUCCUUGUUUUUCAGGAACAAAGCUAUCCUGCCUUUCUACACUUUGAGUGGAUGGCUUUGGAGUCACGCAGAUGUGCGAUGCAGGGAAAUUCUUCCUCAUCACCGGUGUCUUCUUGACAUGUUUGGACUUAGAGCCGUGUUUCUUCUCCUGUGUUGUAUCCAUGGUUUCCAGUAUUGUCAUCAAAACGAUGUUUGCGUUCUUCAAACCACAUUUUGAAUGGUAAUUUCAUUUUCUUGUUGUGCCUCGUCUUAUGGUUGUUUUAAAAUGUGACAAUCCCCUUUAUUUCUCCUUUUAUUCCCAAGAAAGCACCAGGCUUCCUCUUUGUAGAAGAAUAAGUUAUACUGAAGCAGAGCGUGACGUCACGUCCAAACGGUCAACAGAAAAAUAAUUCUGUUAAAUACAUUUACUGUAAAUCUGACCUGAAACCAUCUAAAGUUUUACUUUGAGACUCAUCUUCCAUGAACUCAGUUUGUUCUGUCUGACAGGGCAGGUCAAAGGUCGGCGUCAGUGCAUCAUAGUGUUUAUGUAAAAACACAGCCGGUCGGUCACAAGCAGAGCUGACUGACCGGAUCAGGAGCCGAGUCAGGCAAGCAAGACGCAGCCUCUCUGCAGCUGCACUUUGUGAUUAUUGUGCGUUUUCUUCUUCCCGCUGGGAGGGAAAGAUGCUCUGUGCGAAAUAAGAGACGGCUGCUGAUGUUUCAUCACUGUCACCGUUUAUUUCUGGUCGACUACAUCGCAGGCGAUCUGUCCUUUCCAGAUGCUGUCACUCGGAAACGCAGACAAAGUUCAAAAUGUGUGAUUAACGAUAUUAAAAAGCAUAAUUAGAUAAAUACAUUAGCACUCUGCUGGAGGAAAAAAGUGUGGUGCAAUUUGAUUAAAAUUUUAAUGCGAGUUAAUUACAGGGUCUGUAAAUAAUUAAUUGCAAUGAAUCACUAUCUAAUAAAAACUUAAAUAGAUAUAGAUAGAUACAUAUAAUCAUAAAUAGGAGUAACUUUGGAAAGAAUGGACUUUUAGGAGUAGUUUUACUACACUGUACUUUUAACAUGAGUAACAUUCUUGAAUCUGCUUCUUUACCGCAUUAAUAUGAGGUUACACCGUGCUGCUGAUGUUUUCAUCUUCUUCCAGUCUGUGAUCGCCAUCAGUAACUGCGCUGUCUGCGCUUUUUCAUGUGGAGCAAAUGUGACGCUCAACCAAAAACCUGAUAAACACACAGCCUGUGCUGCCCCCUGUUGGACGCCUACAGACUGACAACAGAGCAUCCAAAAAAUGCCAAGCUGAAUCAAGCAUCUGUGUUUAUUUAUGACCCAGCUGGAUAAUCUCUGACCCACUUUCUGCAUCUGGAUGAAACCGUGUGGGAUGUACUGAUCUCCCUCUGAGCCUGUUGUAAACAAAAUAUAAAAUUAGCUGAGUGCAAAAAAAAAUAUGACUUUAAGUGUCAAAAUGUUAAAAGUGGUUGAUGGAGGAAUUGUUGUCAGAUGUUAGCGGAGCGGUUUUAUUUCUGUCAGUCUUGUUGAGAUUUUUCGCUGUUAGUCAGCAGGUUUUUUCUUGAUGUGUGACACAAAUUUAACAAUAUAUUCACUCUGUGAGUUUAUUUUUGUAACCAAUAAAAAUGCAAAACAUCACAUCAUCACAUUUUAUCUCCAGCGGUCAUUUUGGCGAAAGAAUAGGUCGCAACUCAGAAAAAAAACAGUUUUAUCUGUUUAUCUUUGGUUUAGUUUUU